Amblyraja radiata (thorny skate) is the source of this 4211-nucleotide long non-coding RNA. RefSeq lists it as uncharacterized. The transcript is spliced from 3 exons. The record is from RefSeq and is a predicted model, not a curated record. Lineage: Eukaryota; Metazoa; Chordata; Chondrichthyes; Rajiformes; Rajidae.
GCUAAAUAUUUGGAUAUGCUAAAUAUUCUGUGGCUAAUUUUUUUCUGGGAUGUAACUAAUGGAUUGGAUUCUGGCAGCAGCAUUUUAUAAGCAUGAUGUAAAAUUAUAUGGACGCUGGAUGCUUUGUUGAUAUUCUGCUUUGUGGUAUCUUGGAAAGUGUUGACAUCUAAUCCAAAAUUGGCAGCGGUUCCAAAUAUACAGAUUAACUCUCUGGAUGCCUCUGUUGGCUUUAUAUUUUAUGCAGCAGUGCGCAUCCUCGUAAUGUUCCUGUUAGCAAUAGACCUGUUAGCUCAGUCAGACGGCUAGAUUUCUUCCAACUACUAUGAAUAGAAUUGGAAAAUCGUAGAAUGAAAUAGCACAAGAAAAGCUCAUUCUGUCCAUAACACGGAUACCAUCUGUCGGAUAGAGCUAUCUGAUUUAUCAAUUCUUUGACUUUCUCAUAUGUCAUGUCAAACUUUCCCUACUUAUGGAUAUCCAAUUCAUUAUUUAAUGAAACUGUUUGAACGUGAAUCAAUUGACAUCUUCAAGGAUUCCAGAUCCAACAACUGCUCCAUUUAACAUGUGGGAUGGUGGGGAAUCUUCUUAGUGCUGAUCACCUUACAACCGUAACUUCUGCUUCUGGGGUAGUUACUCUGUCAAAAUUGCUCAAAGAAGUUGAAACGGCCGUCAAACCUCUAAAUCUUCUGUAAAAUCGUGACAUCUUUCCAACAACAUGGUGCCUAAAAUUUAAUGCAGUCAUCUUGGCUGACAUCCUGUUAAUACGCCUUCCUUACUUUUCUAGGGAUUCCUUCUAUUUAUAAUGGCCUUCUCCAUUGAAAUUUUAUUUUCCAGACCUCUGGAAUUAUAUUCUUGUAUCUUCUAAAAUGAUACCGUUCAUGUUGCCUCUCAUUCAUCUGAUGAAAAUAAAUCACUUUGCUACUAAACCUCAUGCCCUUUUAUUUCGCCAAUUAUUUUUAGACUGUUUCUGAUUGUUUGUUAUACGUAAUUUCCUCGUCACCUUCACUGCUUGGAAUUCAAUCCUGUCCCUGAUCAAAUUAAUUAAAAAUAGGGGGAAGAAGCACUCUCCUGGUAGUUACCCUCUGUGGAGCAGUACUAACCACUCUUCUUUACCUUGUCAUGCAGCCAUUUUUAUAUAUACACUGCACUGUUUCUUUUAAUAUUACGGUCUUUUAUUUUGCUAAUCAGCUAUUAUGCAUUAGUUUAUCCACAAUAUUGAUCGCCCUGUCUGUAAGCUGGUCUCUGCAAUUUUCUUUAGAUUUGAGCAAUAUAUUACAAUGUAGGUCCUGUUUUACUAAAUUCUUACUAACUGCCAUUUGGAGAACUAAGUGAAUAAAUAAUUUUGUCCCUGGGCAUUCUGUCUAAAAGUUUUCUCUUCAUAUCUUUUGAAAGAUUGACCUAAUUGCCAGGUUUAUUUUCUCUCAAAUGUCAAUGUAACAUGAGCAAUCUUCUCAUAUUUGGCAUUAAAUCCUCUUCCAAGGAGCUUGGAAGAUUGUUCAGAGCUUCAACAGCUCUUUCAAUAAACUAGGGCACAUGAAAAGAACUGAUUGACCAUUUUACUUUAAGGAUUGCUGACCUUAUUAAGUGCAUUUUUUUAAUCAUAUCCAAUAUCACUUCUGCCCUGGCUGUUAUCAUUUCAAGAAUGUUUGCCGAUCCAAUAGUGCAGUUUAAGAGGAUUUUAGAUAGGCAGGUGGAUAUGCAGAGAACAAAGGGAUAUGAAUUGUGUGUUGGCAGUGGAGAUUAGUUUAACUUGGCAUCUUGUUUGGCAUGGACAUUAUGGGCUGAAGGGCCUGUUCCUAUGCUGUUCUAUGUUUGUAUUAAUAAAUUGGGGUUUUAAUAAAGCAGCAUAGUUUAUUCCUGGAAAAAGCAGUUGAGCCGAAUGGCUUAGUAGUAUGUUUGCAUGUUAGGACAAUUAAUGAUUAUUAUACUAGUUUUUUAGGCUCCUUCAAGAAGACAUGGUAUUUAUAUAUGUUUGGGUAGCUAUAUGAAGAUAACAGCUCUGUACUGGGAUUCAAGCUAAAAGGAGAGUUAAAGUUAGGAAAAGGCUGCUAGAUGGUCUAUAUUUCAAAUUAUGCGUUGGCUGUAGCAGCAAAGGAGCAAGUGAGAGGUGUAGGAAGGAACUGCAGAUGCUGGUUUAAACUGAAGAUAGAAUUUUAAAAAACUGGAGCAAUUAAGGGGGUCAGAUAGGAUCUCCAGAGAAAAAGAAAGGUAAUCUAUUUUCUCCAGAGGUGCUGUUUGACCUGCUGAGUUACUCUAGCUGUUUGUGUCUAUCAGCAAGUCAGUGGUAUUUGAAGUGCUCUCCUCGCAUUAGGUGAACUUGAAGAUAAUACAUGGGAUAUACUGAUCACAAUAUACUAAAUAAUUGGGAAACUUAUCAAGUGAGGUUUUAACAAUUGAAUAAAGGAUCUAGAAAGUAUCUUUGUUUUUCAAGAUGCUGCAGAGAGGAAUGUAGCGCUUGAAAUAAAUUACCUGCAAAAUCUGUAAUUAAUUGGAAAGUAAAUUAGAUGCAUCACUGUUUAUGAGAUCAAAUAGCAAAUUACACUUUCUCUAUCCAGAAAUAAAUGUAAUAAUUUGGAACUUGCUACAAUGCUGAAUGAUUGGGGGAAAACUAAAUGAUAUAAAGCAAAAACUAGUUAGGCAUAUGAAGAGUAAGGCAAGAAGAAUUUUGCUGAUGGAACCAAAUAUGAAAGACUUGAAGAUCAAGUGGAGCAUAAAACUGUGCAUGGACUAAUUGGGCUAAAUGGCCAUUUUCUGUGAAGUAUAUUCCAUGUAAUUGGUGAUUAAAAUAUUACUUUCCACUACACGUUACGUCAUUUGUUUUUAAAUUUGAGGAAAGGAAAAUCUUGAGUGAUAAGGGGUGAUAACUGGAUAGUCCUGCUAAGACUAAUUCUGUCUAAAUGACCACAGAUUAAAAGGUUGAGUGAUGUGAAUUGCGUGCUUGGUUGUCAGUUAACCAUUUGGGUCAGUUUUAGGUUAUGCUGAGUAGCCUUAUUUGUAACUGGUUUUGAGUUAGAUGCAAUGUAGAUUCAAGUUUCUCGAGUGAGGGUUCAAAUGCCUAACCCGUUUACCUGUCAUGGCAUUAAGACAGAUGCGAAAGACAGAUAGCAUCUGGUUUGUUAAAAUGCAGAGUCUCAAAAUCUGCUGUGCUCUUCCAAAUUUCAUUUAUUUCCCCAACCCAAGUAUUACUUGGAUCAAUUUCCAGAACUUUAACUUCGAAUACUCUUUGACGUUCUGACAGCAUUCAUGCAGAUUAGCUUUUUUUUUUUUUAACUGGUUGUUUUUAUUUUAAACUUGCUUUUAUUUUCCUUCAUUUAUAUUUUAAAGGAUAAUCUUUGUCUUAUUUUUGUUUUGUGAUUACCAGAUUUGGUUUUAUGGCUUAACUCUUGAAAAGCAAGAGAAUUUGUUCAUGCAAUGGUUGCCUGAGAGUAAUGUUAGAUGAGUUUAAUCUUAUCUGUGUUUGUGGAUUAUUCUUAAACAUCUUUUUAAUUAAUUAAGCCCUUUGCCCCAUGAGCAAUGGUGAAUUGGGUUGUGAACAACUAUUUCUGACAAUUAUAUUUUUACAAGGCACAAUUUUCUCAACACUAUAUGCUAAUUAGCACCAAAGCAUCAUUCCUUUUACGCAAAAUAAAUUAUACUUUGGGGUUGGGGUCCUGUGUAUGGGGUGGGACUGGGGUAGGGGUAGGGAGCAUGAGGUGAUGACGUUAGUAAGGUUUCUAUUAAAGUCGUGUUUCAUCUUUUACUUAGCUACCUGACAAAUUAUUUCUGUAAUAUGUUGAACAUUAAUGCCCACCUGAUUUUAAAUCUUUUUAUGUUGCCAACACUUUAUAUGCUAUUUACCAAAUGUUUUCAUUUAUUUGAUUUAAACUAAAGGUAUAAAAUUAACUAGAGCCCGAAGGAAAUAUACUGGAAUAAGAAGCAAGUAUAGCAAUAAAAAGGUUAUUUUUUCAGGCCUUCUUAGAACAAAUUAAAUGCAUGAAAGGCUUGUCUUAGGCAACUUAACUGAUUCUGGAUGUGUAUGAGCCUCAGCGCUGUGAGUUGCCCGACUCGAGAUGGAGUGAGUGGGCCCGGCUCGGGGACAGAUGGUGAGAGCAGCAACUCAGUCUUUAUACAACAGUCGAGCUCGGUUUGCUGUGCGCUUUUACUUUAAGACCUUUCCCUUCCUCUCCUGAAGGCAGCAAUUUGUGCCAGGAUAUAGUUCCACAAGCAGUGGCCCU